Non-coding RNA from Amborella trichopoda, 3893 nucleotides. NCBI's taxonomy places the organism in Eukaryota, Viridiplantae, Streptophyta, Magnoliopsida, Amborellales, Amborellaceae. The record is from RefSeq and is a predicted model, not a curated record.
UGGAUCGGAUCCUCUUGCACCUAGAUUUAAUCUGAAUUACUAUUCGGAUCCAAAUUUUGGAUUCAUACCCAGAUCCAAAUGGGAUCCGAAAUUCGGGUUUCAGAUUUAAACCGGGUAAAGUCUCAACCCUACACAGAGGCUGAAAGUCAAGUGGAGGCCAAAUGGAAUUCCCAUUUAAUUAUUCAACGAUUCCGUGCAAGUGUUACUCACUAAUCAAGCUCCUUUUGUCCCUUUGGUAUAAAUCUUGGGAAUACACUAUUGUUUUGAGUUAUUUCUUAUCAGCUGCAUUAUGUGGACUCGGAUACGUGUAUAGCAUUUGACAUAGAGAUGGGUGUGAAAAAUAGUGAUAUGAAAUUGACCUUCCAAACGUAUUACAUGUUUGUGCACCAUUGAAAGAAUGGAGCAUGUGAGGUUUUAGGUGACAGUAAAUAUUUUUAUUGUGAUAUUUCAAUAGAAAAGAUUUUUAAGUGUCGAUGUUUCAGGUUUAUGAAGUGUCUGACCCAUAGCUCAAAUUUUUUAUUCCUAUGUGGAAGAAAGCUCAGUGGAAGAUGCUCAAAGAAAUGAGGCAAAUGAGUGCGAUGGUGGUGGUUGAGGAUGAUUGUAUGAAUACCAUUAAAUGUAGGAAGGAGGAAAGAGUCUCAUGGGUCUACAAUAGACCUAGUUCGAUAUACCGGACAUCUGCGUGCAGGUCAAGGUAUCUUUUGUCCAUGUUUAGAAGGAGCCAAAUGGAGAAGCGGAUGAAUGUCCAAGCAGGGUGUUAAUUUUUUUUAGCUGAUAACCGUAUCGUGUUAAUAGUGGGUGGUUAUGUUUUUGUUCAUGGUGGGAUCCUCCCACCGAAUGGAGUUCUGGGAACAUGGGGAUCGCGAUCCUAAAAUUCUGGGAGUGGGGAUCUAAUUUGUUGGGGAACCACAUCUACAAUGUUAUGGAACGCGUUCCGUGGGACAGUGGGAGUGAGAUCCGUGCGGUAGCGAGAGCGAGCUCCGUUGUGAAUAUGCCAUAACUCUCUCUCUUACACAAUAUGAAUACUGAGCCCACACACAAUAUGAACAUUGAGCCCAUCCUGAAACUUGUGAUUGGUAGUAAAACAUCCAUCUUUCGGGAUGCGAUUUUGUCAUCAUAGAUUUCUCAACAUAUGUUUUGCUUAGUUCUCUAUAGCUAUGGAGAGCAAGGAAGACAUGUGCAUGUGUGAUAAACAAAUAAACAACAAAUAAAGCAGGGCAGAGUCUGAAGCCAAGCAAGUUUUUCAGUAAAAAGCAAGUGGAGUGUUUAAGGGAUUGAAUGUUGUCCUCCUUUUUCCUUACUUUCCUCGCACUCCUUCCUUCUAACCAGGAAAGCCAGCCCACUCCAAUAUCGCAUUUUACUAACUCGAGUCAGGAGAGAGUUAAAUAAAUUGAAGUAGUGGCAGAGCCAAUAGAGAGCCUUGCCUUCAUAUCAAUACAGUACCUACACACACGUGAGUAUAUACGCGAAAGUGAUGAGACCGAAUCCUCAAGAAUCACAUAAGAAGAGUAGUUGUACAAUUUGAAGCAUUUAUCACCAAGCAAAAGCAAAAACUUAAACCUUACCUGUUCAAGUGCUGAUUUGCCAUGCUUCACGUUGCAGAAUCCCAGCGCUGCAACUAUAAGGAACACAUGGAAAGAAGAUGUUAAUAUUAUCUCAAACUUACAUCUGAAUAUUUCUAUUUCCUUCCACUUUCUAAGAAAUCAACUCUUCAUCAAUAAACACCAAUAGAUUUCAACUACCCCAAAAAACAGAACACCAUGGGUUUCAUGUGGACGUUAUUGGAAGCUUUCAUCCAACAUCUUCAACUCCCUACAUCCCUCCCCAAAUGGUAAUGCUAUGAGCACGGUCCUCGUCAAAAAAUGAAUGCGCCAAGCAUAAUUUUUUGAGAGAUUCAAGCGAGUGAAGCCACUGUGGCAACCUCCCUAAAUUCCCAUUUUAAGAUUAGUUUUAGAAGAUAUAAUGGGGGCGAAGACUUUUUCUCUGAAAGUGUAAGUUUUCCGUGGCGUAUGCAAGUUACGUGUAAGUCAUGGAGGUCGCUCAUCUCCUUCCCUCCUCUAGGUUGAGGCAAACUCACCAGAGUUGUGUUCCUUACAACCGGGGGAUAAUGACAUAGCCAAGCCCCUGCAGCAACUAAUAGUUUAUGGCUGGGCUGCUAAGGAUCACAUGACCGUAAGGGACAAAAGGGGCGAGUAGGGAAUUUGUUAUGUUAUUUCUGCAUGCUCGAGUUAAUAAAAGUUCAUAGGUGGAUUCCUGGUUUUUUGAAUUUUCUUCCUUCUCUAUCUUCUAUUCUCCUUAAAGGCUUCUCGUUCCAUUAGAGUUUAUGCAAAGUAAAGUGCUGAUUCAUGAAGAAUAACCCUAAUUUGCAUCAACCCAUUUCUUCGCCUCUACCAAAGCUCUGAUUUUCCCCAAGACUAUGUUUUCUUUUGAAGGGUCUUCUCACCCUUUGGUAGAUGGCCCAAACAUGUAUUACAAUGCCUUUUCAUGGAUAUCACGGCACACUAAUUCUUUUUUUUUUUUUUUGACAAGAUUAAAUCACAGCACACUAAUUGCAGCUCUAAACAAGAACAAGAUGCCAAUUGUUACAUGGGGGUUCUCGUUACUCAAUUGGGGUGGCUGGAAAUGCAUGUUAUGCUCAUCAGGUGAAGAAACAGGAUGCUCGAAGCUGCGACUUUGAUGGGUUGGGAAUAAUUACUUUUCUAGAUCCAAGCAUUGGGGAUUGCAGGUUUCUGGUUGGAAUUAGUGAUCUUCAGGGUACGACUGAGUCAGUGGAAUGGAUAGAUAAUGUCGUUAGUGAUUGUAUUUCUAGGUUUUUUUGGCGCUCUGUUAUGUAGGGAUGGGAGUUUUGCAUAUGGUAAAUAUAGUGUGUAAUGGAUGGAUAGUGUUGUGGAUGGUUCUUUUUCUAGGGUUUUGGGGUGUUGUGUGAUGUGCUAAACUGUGGAGAUUGCAUAUGGUUGGCAUAAAGAGUAUUGCAUAUAGUAGACAGCGAGUCUUAUAGACAGUGUAAGAUAUGGUGGUCUUAAAUAGGGAAGCGGGCUUAAGGAUGGACAUCAGAUAGUCAUUUAAACAUUCACUGAGCUUAUAAUUAAGUAUAGAAUGUGAAUCUAAUAUUCAGAAAGGUUCCUGGGUUGUUAUCAAUGGCACAGAUUGGUUACUGUUACAGCUGGAACAAGCAUUUGAUUCACGUCACAAUGGAUAAUUUUCCAUUUCCCUGCACGUAUUGAUGUGCCUAUGAGGAGGAACAUUAGGCAAUAUGGAGGCCAUUUCCUCUACCGCUUGUUCAGUAAGAAAAAGGCCCUGGCUUUGGAGGGAUCCUUAAGGAUUUUUCGGGAGACAUUAUCUUUUGUUAUGCAGGACUGGGAGGAGUCUUAGCGGCCAAUGAAGCAGAGAUGGAAGCGGUUGCAAGAGCCUCGGAGUUUGUCAUCCAAAAAGGUGUGACAGAUCCUUUUAGUAUUGAAGGGGACUCGUUAAAUGUCAUAAACUGGUGUUCCCUGAUUUCUCGACCUCUGUUGCGGUUGAGAAAAAAACAGAUGAAAAGUUUGGAUCUGUGCUCCACUUUGCAAGUCUCUUUUCAACAUGUAUAUAGGAGGCAAAUUCUGCUGCUGAUGGGCUUGCUAAGAAGGGUGCGACUCUUCCUUCUGUUUUCUUUUCUGAUAAGUUAUAUUACACGAGGCUAGCUUAUGAUGGUUUUAUACCAUAUUGGAAAUAACAGUAUGUUAUAUAUCAAACAUAACUCAUCUAAAAUAUUAUGUCUUUCUGAGCAACAAUAGCAGCCUCAAAGCCAUCUUUAUGGCAGCCUCAAAGCCAUCUUUAUGGCUUGUGAGGCAGUUCUCUUGAAAUUUGAUGCGUAACUGAUGUCAGGUCCGAUUUUUUUAAAAAAAUGCUUUGAACUA